UACAGAGGUGCCAAGCGUUAGGCGGAAUCACUGGGCUUAAAGCGCGUGUAGGCGGGUCGUUAAGUGUCCGCGGGAAAUCCCACGGCUCAACCGUGGAACUGCUUGGUAUACUGCUUAUCUUGGGCCACUUAGGGGUUACCGGAACAAACGGUGGAGCGGUGAAAUGCGUAGAUAUCGUUUGGAACGCCAAUGGUGAAGACAGGUAACUGGGAGUGUGCCGACGCUGAGACACGAAAGCCAGGGGAGCGAACGGG
RNAcentral lists this ribosomal RNA (254 nucleotides) under uncultured bacterium. RNAcentral describes it as "partial 16S ribosomal RNA". It matches the Rfam family "Bacterial small subunit ribosomal RNA", at positions 524 to 776 of the family's 1533-position model. The record is from RNAcentral.